UGGCGAACGGGUGAGUAACACGUGGGCAACCUGCCCAAAAGAGGGGGAUAACACUUGGAAACAGGUGCUAAUACCGCAUAACCAUAGUUACCGCAUGGUAGCUAUGUAAAAGGUGGCUAUGCUACCGCUUUUGGAUGGGCCCGCGGCGCAUUAGCUAGUUGGUGGGGUAAAGGCUUACCAAGGCAAUGAUGCGUAGCCGAACUGAGAGGUUGAUCGGCCACAUUGGGACUGAGACACGGCCCAAACUCCUACGGGAGGCAGCAG
This 264-nucleotide ribosomal RNA is filed under the name uncultured bacterium. RNAcentral's name for it is "partial 16S ribosomal RNA". It matches the Rfam family "Bacterial small subunit ribosomal RNA", at positions 96 to 354 of the family's 1533-position model. The record is from RNAcentral.